Molecule: non-coding RNA, 81 nt
Organism: Rhodofomes roseus
Lineage: Eukaryota; Fungi; Basidiomycota; Agaricomycetes; Polyporales; Fomitopsidaceae
Source: the annotation of a RefSeq genome assembly
UCGGAUAUGGUGUAGUGGCUAACAUUAUCGCCUCUCAUUAAAUGACCGCGAUAGCCCGGGGUUCAAUUCCCCGUAUCCGAA